ACUACGGGAGGCUGCAGUGAGGAAUAUUGGUCAAUGGGCGGAAGCCUGAACCAGCCAAGUAGCGUGCAGGAUGACGGCCCUACGGGUUGUAAACUGCUUUUAUACGGGAAUAACGCGCCUUACGUGUAGGGAUUUGCAUGUAACGUAUGAAUAAGGACCGGCUAAUUCGGUGCCAGCAGCCGCGGAAAUAAGGAAGGUACGGGCGUUCACCGGUUUUAUGAGGUUUAAAGGGAGCGUAGGCCGCAUGUCAAGCGUGCUGUGAAAGGUCCGGGCUCAACCCGGGCCUGGCAGCGCGAACUGGCGUGCUUGAGUCCGCGGAAAGCAGGCGGAAUUCGUCGUGUAGCGGUGAAAUGCUUAGAUAUGACGAAGAACCCCGAUUGCGAAGGCAGCUUGCUGCAGCGGAACUGACGCUGAUGCUCGAAAGCGCGGGUAUCGAACAGGAUUAGAUACCCUGGUAGUC
This 460-nucleotide ribosomal RNA is filed under the name uncultured bacterium. Its description in RNAcentral is "partial 16S ribosomal RNA". It matches the Rfam family "Bacterial small subunit ribosomal RNA", at positions 338 to 795 of the family's 1533-position model. The record is from RNAcentral.